UUCAGCGUUGACCAAUCAGGAGCCGGUGCAGUCUGUUAUUGCUCGCUGCACAGAAAGGGAUAUUUUAAGAGCCGAGAGUGAGCCGAAUACUACAGGGAUUAUAUCAAAAGCAAGACUUCGACAUCUGGGGGCGAAGCGUCAAGCUCACGCGGAGCUGCUACAUUCGGCACAGUAUGAGCUGUUUUGAGCCUCUGGUUUGAUGAAUAACGCGCGUGCAGGGACUGCUGAUGUGGCUUUAUAAAUAAGGAGCCAUUAGGCAAUGUGUGUGAGCCAGAGGAAAGAGUCUCAGGUGAAUAGAGGAUUUGUCAGAGAGGUGUGUGAUUGUGUCUGCGUGAAGCAGUUCUCAGGGUCUUUCCUCUAAGAGUGCCCUCAACAGUCAACAACGUCGAAAGUCGCCUACUUUAAGCGAAAAUAUGCGGAAGAGGAGGAUGUUCAGGGAAGCCUACAUGGAUAUUUACAAAAACACCUGAUCCUGCGUGAGGAGCGCAGCUGCAUCCUGCGCCUGUCUCUGCAGAAGCUGCGUUUCCUAGACGACCCUGAGGCUUACCUCCGCCGCUCCGUGCUCAUCAACAACCUGCUACGCAAGAUCCACCUGGACGAAGCCCAGAGGGAGAAAGAGAAACCAAGAGAUGACAAGGAAGAGGAAGAGGAGAUGGAGUGGAGGCGGAAGAGACUGAAGGUGGUGCUCAAGGGGUUCCAGCAGUACAAGCUGCUGCCGUAUUCAUCCUCCCCAGCCUCAUGCAUCUGUGGCCUGGGCAGCUGCCACAUCCUGCCUCCUGAUCAUGGAGCUUCAGUGUUAUUCUACCAUUUGGAUGAUAAAGAAUAAGAUGUCAUCGCGCACAUGCAGGGGAUUUUUCCUACUGUCUACGACUGAUUUCCAGGAGCCAGCAUUAAGGAAUAAGGGGAUUCGGGUUUGUGUGCAUUUGUGCUUGUGCUGGUGAGCGUGAGCUCUGCAGUUUGUGAUGUGACAGGUGCUGUCCAUAUCAGGGUGUUUUUUUUCCAACAUCAUCCUGUUAUCACUGCCUCGCUCUGUUGAUAUGAACUUUGACCACAGACAUUUUGUUUUCAUGAAUUUACUUGAGUGAGCUAUAAUCUUAAGCAUUGUUUUCAGGGAUAAAAAAGGCAAACAAAAAGCCAUGCACCUUGUGGUUGUUAUACUAUGUUGUAAGAAAAAAAAAAAAGAGACAAAAAUUUAAAUUUGAAGCGUCAAAGUCCCAGCUGCUCUUAAGGAUAGAGUGAUUUUACUAAAGCUUUGUCGCUGUGAAAUUGACUUUUUUGUGUAAGUGGCUACUGAUGUCGAGCUAGUAAUGAUUUUUUAAAGACGUUUCCAUAAAACAAAAUAGGAAAAUAUAUGAGGGCAAAUGAGCAGUGAAAAUAAUAUUUCUUUCAAGGCCUUCCGUUUUUUGGUUUUGUUUUGUUUUGUUUAAACAGGGUCUCGCUCUCUGCAAAAAAGGUACAAAUCUGUCACCAUAUCACGCAGACCCUUUCAAAAUGUAAUAUGUUAUUUUAAAGCACUUUUUAAGUACUAAU
Sinocyclocheilus grahami is the source of this 1530-nucleotide long non-coding RNA. RefSeq lists it as uncharacterized. The transcript is spliced from 4 exons. The record is from RefSeq and is a predicted model, not a curated record. NCBI's taxonomy places the organism in Eukaryota, Metazoa, Chordata, Actinopteri, Cypriniformes, Cyprinidae.